Molecule: small nuclear RNA, 100 nt
Organism: Cavia aperea (Brazilian guinea pig)
Lineage: Eukaryota; Metazoa; Chordata; Mammalia; Rodentia; Caviidae
Source: Ensembl
GACUUUCAAACUCUAGUAGGACACUUACUAAAAUUGGAAUGAUGCAGAAUGACCCCUGCUCAAGGAUGACAUGUAAGUUUAUGAGGCAUGCUGUAUUUCC